Molecule: ribosomal RNA, 406 nt
Filed under: uncultured bacterium
Lineage: Bacteria
Description: partial 16S ribosomal RNA
Rfam family: Bacterial small subunit ribosomal RNA
Source: RNAcentral
AUUGAACGCUGGCGGCAGGCUUAACACAUGCAAGUCGAGCGAGCGGCGGACGGGUGAGUAAUGGCGGGGAAACUGCCUGAUGGAGGGGGAUAACGACUGGAAACGGUAGCUAAUAGCGCAUACCAUCAGAUGUGCCCAGUUGGGAUUAGCUAGUAGGUGGGGUAAUGGCUCACCUAGGCGACGAUCCCUAGCUGGUCUGAGAGGAUGACCGGCCACCCUGGAACGGAGACACGGUCCAGACUCCUACGGGAGGCAGCAGUGGGGAAUAUUGGACAAUGGGCGAAAGCCUGAUGGAGCCAUGCCGCGUGUGUGAAGAAGGCCUUCGGGUUGUAAAGCACUUUCAUCGGGGAGGCGUUACUCGCACAGGAAGCACCGGCUAACUCCGUGCCAGCAGCCGCGGUAAUUC